GAUGAAGAACGUAGCGAAAUGCGAUAAGUAAUGUGAAUUGCAGAAUUCAGUGAAUCAUCGAAUCUUUGAACGCACAUUGCGCCCCUUGGUAUUCCAAAGGGCAUGCCUGUUCGAGCGUCAUUUGUACCCUCAAGCUUUGCUUGGUGUUGGGCGUCUUGUCUCUAGCUUUGCUGGAGACUCGCCUUAAAGUAAUUGGCAGCCGGCCUACUGGUUUCGGAGCGCAGCACAAGUCGCACUCUCUAUCAGCAAAGGUCUAGCAUCCAUUAAGCCUUUUUUUCAACUUUUGACCUCGGAUCAGGUAGGGAUACCCGCUGAACUUAAGCAUAUCAAUAAGCGGAGGA
RNAcentral lists this unclassified non-coding RNA (341 nucleotides) under soil metagenome. Its description in RNAcentral is "partial contains 5.8S ribosomal RNA, internal transcribed spacer 2, and large subunit ribosomal RNA". The stretch from base 1 to 120 matches the Rfam family "5.8S ribosomal RNA", at positions 35 to 154 of the family's 154-position model. The record is from RNAcentral.